AUCAACUUUCGAUGGUAGGAUAGAGGCCUACCAUGGUGGUAACGGGUAACGGGGUGUUAGGGCACGACACCGGAGAGGGAGCCUGAGAAACGGCUACCACAUCCAAGGAUGGCAGCAGGCGCGCAAAUUACCCAAUCCCGACACGGGGAGGUAGUGACAAUAAAUAACAAUACAGGGUUCUUUUGGAUCUUGUAGUUGGAAUGAGUACAAUUUAAAUCUCUUAACGAGGAACAAUUGGAGGGCAAGUCUGGUGCCAGCAGCCGCGGUAAUUCCAGCUCCAAUAGCGUAUAUUAAAGUUGUUGCAGUUAAAAAGCUCGUAGUUGAAUUUCGGGAUCAAUAUGUUGGUCGUGCCUUGGUACGUACUAGUUUAUUGGUUUCUCCCUUCUGACGAACCAUGAUGUCAUUAAUUUGGUGUCAUGUGGAAUCAGAACUGUUACUUUGAAAAAAUUAGAGUGUUUAAAGCAGGCUCACGCUUGAAUACAUUAGCAUGGAAUAAUGAAAUAGGACGUUUGAUUCUAUUUUGUUGGUUUCUAGGAUUGACGUAAUGAUUAAUAGGGAUAGUUGGGGGCAUUAGUAUUCAAUUGUCAGAGGUGAAAUUCUUGGAUUUAUUGAAGACUAACUACUGCGAAAGCAUUUGCCAAGGAUGUUUUCAUUAAUCAAGAACGAAAGUUAGGGGAUCGAAGACGAUCAGAUACCGUCGUAGUCUUGACCAUAAACUAUGCCGACUAGGGGUCGGAUGAUGUUAAAUUAAUGACUCAUUCGGCACCUUACGGGAAACCAAAGUGUUUGGGUUC
Molecule: ribosomal RNA, 794 nt
Filed under: uncultured Glomus
Lineage: Eukaryota; Fungi; Glomeromycota; Glomeromycetes; Glomerales; Glomeraceae
Description: SSU rRNA
Rfam family: Eukaryotic small subunit ribosomal RNA
Source: RNAcentral